Molecule: transfer RNA, 61 nt
Filed under: Aguriahana triangularis
Lineage: Eukaryota; Metazoa; Arthropoda; Insecta; Hemiptera; Cicadellidae
Description: tRNA-Cys
Source: RNAcentral
GGUUUUAUAGUUUAUAAAAAUAUUAAAUUGCAAAUUUAAAGUUGAUUAAUUUCUAAAACUU